GUGAGAUUCAUCCCUGCCAAAUCCAACCGGGCCAUGCACACACAAUGACCACUAAGAUGGCUUGGUCUGUGAUGUUGACAGUCCUGAUGCAUAUUUUCCUGCUGUCCCACAGUGUUCAGUGUUCAGAGUCCAAGGAAGUCUCCC
This is a non-coding RNA of Labrus bergylta (ballan wrasse), 144 nucleotides long. The record is from RefSeq and is a predicted model, not a curated record. Lineage: Eukaryota; Metazoa; Chordata; Actinopteri; Labriformes; Labridae.